This is a non-coding RNA of Peromyscus maniculatus bairdii (prairie deer mouse), 1785 nucleotides long. NCBI's taxonomy places the organism in Eukaryota, Metazoa, Chordata, Mammalia, Rodentia, Cricetidae. The record is from RefSeq and is a predicted model, not a curated record.
UCUUCCUAUCUAGUAACAGGAAUUUCUCUGAAUUGUGCUUAUAUAUCAAAAAUACUGCCACCAGAGAAAGAGGGUGGAUUACCUCGUCAUGUGGGUAAUAAAACAGAAUGUGCCUUAUUGGGAUUUCUCUUGGAUUUAAAAUGGGAUUAUCAAGAUGUUAGAAAUGAAAUACCAGAAGAAGCAUUGUACAAAAUCUACACCUUCAAUUCUGUUAGGAAGUCCAUGAGUACAGUCCUGAAAAAUUCAGAUGGAAGUUACUGCAUCUUCAGCAAGGGUGUAUCUGAGAUCAUGCUGAAAAAGUGUUUCAAAAUCUUGAGUGCUAAUGGUGAGGCAAAAGUAUUCAGACCCAGGGACCGUGGUGAUAUUGUGAAAACUGUGAUUGAUCCGAUGGCAUCGGAAGGCCUGAGAACCAUCUGUCUGGCAUUCAGAGAUUUCCAAGCAGGAGAGCCAGAACCAUAGUGGGACAACGAGAAUGAUGUCGUCACUGGCCUUACUUGCAUUGCUGUUGUGGGGAUUGAAGAUCCUGUGAGGCCUGAGGUACCAGAGGCAAUAAAGAAGUGCCAGAGAGCUGGCAUUACUGUGCGAAUGGUCACUGGUGAUAAUAUUAAUACUGCUUGUGCUAUUGCUACCAAGUGUGGUAUUUUAUACCCAGGGGAAGAUUUCCUUUGCCUAGAAGGUAAAGACUUUAACCGAAGAAUACGAAAUGAGAAAGGAGAGAUUGAACAAGAGAGGAUAGACAAGAUUUGGCCAAAGCUUCGAGUCCUUGCAAGAUCCUCCCCAUACACUGGUUAAAGGUAUAAUUGAUAGCACUGUUGCCGAGCAACGUCAAGUUGUGGCUGUAACUGGUGAUGGUACAAAUGACAGCCCUGCACUAAAGAAAGCAGACGUUGGAUUUGCAAUGGGCAUUGCUGGAACUGAUGUGGCUAAAGAAGCAUCUGAUAUUAUUCUCACAGAUGACAACUUUACAAGCAUUGUUAAAGCAGUUAUGUGGGGAUGAAAUGUCUAUGACAGCAUCUCAAAGUACCUUCAGUUCCAGCUUCCUGUUAAUGUAGUAGCAGUGAUUGUUGCUUUCACGGGCGCUUGUAUUACUCAAGAUUCACCACUUAAGGCGGUACAGAUGCUGUUGGUAAACCUCAUCAUGGACACCCUGGCCUCCCUGGCCCUGGCAACGGAACCACCUACUGAGUUGCUCCUGCUUCAGAAGCCUUAUGGUAGAAAUAAGCCUCUCAUCUCAUGCACAAUGAUGAAGAAUAUUUUGGGUCAUGCAUUCUACCAGCUCAUAGUGGUUUUUACACUCUUAUUUGCUGGGGAGAAGUUUUUUGAUAUCGACAGUGGAAGGAAUGCUCCUCUGCACAUUCCCCCUCCAAACAUUACACUAUUGUGUUCAAUACCUUUGUGCUGAUGCAGCUUUUCAAUGAAAUAAAUGCCCGGAAAAUUCAUGGUGAAAGAAAUGUGUUUGAAGGAAUCUUUAAUAAUGCCAUCUUCUGCACCAUUGUGCUAGGUACCUUUGUGGUCCAGAUACUAAUUGUGCAGUUUGGUGGCAAACCUUUCAGCUGCUCAGUACUUUCAAUAGAACAGUGGCUGUGGUCAAUAUUCCUGGGAAUGGGGACCUUACUCUGGGGCCAGCUUAUUUCAACAAUUCCAACUAGCCAUUUAAAAUUCCUAAAAGAAGCCGAUCAUGGAACACAAAAGGAAGAAACACCCGAAGAAGAGCUGCCCCGGCCCGUCCACCCCCCCCCCCCAAGCUCCAGGUCCUGGCUCCGGCUCAUUUGUAUGUUUCUGUAG